Molecule: non-coding RNA, 658 nt
Organism: Pelobates cultripes (western spadefoot toad)
Lineage: Eukaryota; Metazoa; Chordata; Amphibia; Anura; Pelobatidae
Source: the annotation of a GenBank genome assembly
CAGAUAUUGAAUAUUAGGAAUCAGCACUGCAGCUUUGAUGGUUUCUGGCAAUCCGACAAAACCUAGAUUGUAGCAGCAGCUUUAUUUUCAGAGUUUUCUAUUUUAUCCAGAAGCUGCUGCAACUGUUGAGAUUUGAGAAUCAACUGUAGUCUGUAGGGAAGUGAGGAAAUCGUCACUUGUCACAUCGUCAUUGUUCCAGGCUGUCUAGUCUUGAGGAGUUGUCGCAAAGUGGGACAUUGCGUAGCCUAUAGAGGAUUUUAUUGCAGACAGUUUGGCUUCAAAGUGUGAACAGAGAUUUCUGCUGCAAUGGUUGAUGUGUGAGAAGCUGUGACUACUGACGUGAGGGGGAUUGUGAUAUGUCAUCCAUAUCUCUGCAGGAGAAUUCAAUUUCUAAGUAUCGAAAAACAUCCAAGGGUUUAUGGAAGGAGUUGGUCUCUUAUGGUGGAGUUUUGUGUGAGGAGUGUUUUGAGUGGACAUUUUUUUCCAUUGUAGUACUUGAAUAUCAAAUUUGGCAGGUAGGUGUCACUUCCCUCUGUAGAGUGAUUGGCAUAUGGGUGUGUGAGUACUCCCUGUAUGGGUGUCAGCCACGUGCGUAGGCUGAUUAUUGUGUCUUCUUGAGAGGGAUUCAAUCAGAGAAGGCCCGCCAUGGACUCCAAAG